CUCGGAUUGGAGUCUGCAACUCGACUCCAUGAAGCUGGAUUCGCUAGUAAUCGCGCAUCAGCCAUGGCGCGGUGAAUACGUUCCCGGGCCUUGUACACACCGCCCGUCAAGCCAUGGAAGCCGGGGGUGCCUGAAGUGUGCAGCCGCAAGGAGCGCCCUAAGGUAAAACCGGUGACUGGGGCUAAGUCGUAACAAGGUAAC
This 201-nucleotide ribosomal RNA is filed under the name uncultured bacterium. Its description in RNAcentral is "partial 16S ribosomal RNA". It matches the Rfam family "Bacterial small subunit ribosomal RNA", at positions 1288 to 1500 of the family's 1533-position model. The record is from RNAcentral.